CAGUCGCCACGGGAAUACAGAGGGUGCAAGCGUUAAUCGGAAUUACUGGGCGUAAAGCGCGCGUAGGUGGUUUGUUAAGUUGGAUGUGAAAUCCCCGGGCUCAACCUGGGAACUGCAUCCAAAACUGGCAAGCUAGAGUAUGGUAGAGGGUGGUGGAAUUUCCUGUGUAGCGGUGAAAUGCGUAGAUAUAGGAAGGAACACCAGUGGCGAAGGCGACCACCUGGACUGAUACUGACACUGAGGUGCGAAAGCGUGGGGAGCAAACAGGAUUAGAUACCCCCGUAGUCCCUGUCUCUUAUAU
Molecule: ribosomal RNA, 301 nt
Filed under: uncultured bacterium
Lineage: Bacteria
Description: partial 16S ribosomal RNA
Rfam family: Bacterial small subunit ribosomal RNA
Source: RNAcentral